RNAcentral lists this ribosomal RNA (497 nucleotides) under uncultured bacterium. Its description in RNAcentral is "partial 16S ribosomal RNA". It matches the Rfam family "Bacterial small subunit ribosomal RNA", at positions 28 to 507 of the family's 1533-position model. The record is from RNAcentral.
GAUGAACGCUGGCGGCGUGCCUAAUACAUGCAAGUCGAGCGAACAGACGAGGAGCUUGCUCCUCUGACGUUAGCGGCGGACGGGUGAGUAACACGUGGAUAACCUACCUAUAAGACUGGGAUAACUUCGGGAAACCGGAGCUAAUACCGGAUAAUAUAUUGAACCGCAUGGUUCAAUAGUGAAAGACGGUUUUGCUGUCACUUAUAGAUGGAUCCGCGCCGCAUUAGCUAGUUGGUAAGGUAACGGCUUACCAAGGCGACGAUGCGUAGCCGACCUGAGAGGGUGAUCGGCCACACUGGAACUGGGACACGGUCCAGACUCCUACGGGAGGCAGCAGUAGGGAAUCUUCCGCAAUGGGCGAAAGCUUGACGGAGCAACGCCGCGUGAGUGAUGAAGGUCUUCGGAUCGUAAAACUCUGUUAUUAGGGAAGAACAAAUGUGUAAGUAACUAUGCACGUCUUGACGGUACCUAAUCAGAAAGCCACGGCUAACUACGUG